UAAGACUUCCUUUUAGUCAACAAGUGCCUU
Molecule: non-coding RNA, 30 nt
Filed under: Homo sapiens (human)
Lineage: Eukaryota; Metazoa; Chordata; Mammalia; Primates; Hominidae
Source: RNAcentral